UACAGAGGUCCCAAGCGUUGUUCGGAUUCAUUGGGCGUAAAGGGUGCGUAGGCGGCCAUGUAAGUCAGGAGUGAAAGUUUGCGGCUCAACCGUAAAAUUGCUUUUGAUACUGCAUGGCUGGAAUCAGGAUGAGGUCAGCGGAAUGUGGCAUGUAGCGGUGAAAUGCAUAGAUAUGCCAUAGAACACCAAUUGCGAAGGCAGCUGGCUAGACCUGUAUUGACGCUGAGGCACGAAAGCGUGGGGAGCGAACAGG
RNAcentral lists this ribosomal RNA (253 nucleotides) under uncultured bacterium. Its description in RNAcentral is "partial 16S ribosomal RNA". It matches the Rfam family "Bacterial small subunit ribosomal RNA", at positions 524 to 776 of the family's 1533-position model. The record is from RNAcentral.